AGGGCACACAAAGGAUGCCUAGGUAGUAAGAGCCGAUGAAGGACGUGGUAAGCUGCGAUAAGCCUAGAUAAGUUGCAAUCGAACGUAAGAGUCUAGGAUUUCCGAAUGGAGCAAUCUAUUAAGAUGGAGUCUUAAUACGAAAGAGGGAACCGCGUGAACUGAAACAUCUAAGUAACGCGAGGAAAAGAAAGUAAAAACGAUACCCAAAGUAGCGGCGAGCGAACUGGGUCAAGCCUAAACCUUAAAUAUGUCAAGGAUACAGCCGUUGUAUUUAAGGGGUUGAGGGACAGAGUAGUGAAGAACUGUAAGAUAUUCAAUAUAGUGUAUUGAUGAAUUGGAAUUGUCUGGAAAGGCGAACCGUAGAAGGUGAAAGUCCUGUACAAGUAAAUCCUUACACAUAUAACUCUGCUCCCAAGUAACAUGGAACACGAGGAAUUCUGUGUGAAUCUGUGAGGACCAUAUCUCAUAAGGCUAAAUACUCUUACUAACCGAUAGCGCAUAGUACCGUGAGGGAAAGGUGAAAAGAACCCCUGGAGGGGAGUGAAAUAGAACCUGAAAUUGUGUGCUUACAAGCGGUCAGAGCCAGUAAUGGUGAUGGCGUGCCUUUUGGAGAAUGAUCCUGCGAGUUACGUUAAACGGCGAGGUUAAGUAUAACGGAGCCGAAGGGAAACCAAGUCUUAAUAGGGCGAUUUAGUCGUUUGGCGUAGACGCGAAACCUGGUGAUCUAAACCUGUCCAGGAUGAAGCUGUGGUAAGACACAGUGGAGGUCCUAACCCACCGCCGUUGAAAAGUUGGGGGAUGAGGUAGGUUUAGGGGUGAAAAGCCAAUCGAACCAGGAGAUAGCUCGUUCUCUCCGAAAUGUAUCUAGGUACAGCCUUGAGUGUUCAAUUAUGGGGGUAGAGCACUGAAUGAUCUAGGGGGCGUAUUGCUUACUGAAAUCAAUCAAACUCCGAAUACCAUAAUUUAUAGCUCAGGAGUGAGACUAUGGGAGUUAACUUCCAUUGUCGAAAGGGAAACAACCCAGACCACCAGCUAAGGUCCCUAAUUAUAACUAAGUGGGAAAGGAGGUGGAGAUUCACAAACAACUAGGAGGUUGGCUUAGAAGCAGCCAUACCUUUAAAGAGUGCGUAAUAGCUCACUAGUCGAGAGUCUCUGCGCCGACAAUGUAACGGGGCUAAGUUAUAAACCGAAGCUGUGGAAUCCGUAAGGAUUGGUAGGAGAGCGUUCUGUAGGCCGUUGAAGGAGAAGGGUAACCGACUCUGGAGGUAUCAGAAGUGAGAAUGCAGGAAUAAGUAGCGAGAAAGGGGGCGAGAAUCCCCCUCGCCGGAAGACCAAGGUUUUCAGGGUAAAGCUUGUCUUCCCUGAGUAAGCCGGGACCUAAGCCCAGGCUAUAAUGCGUAGGCGAAUGGAAAACAGAUUAAUAUUUCUGUGCCAGUCAUAUAUUGUGAUGGAGGGACGCAGAAGGGUAUGCGCGCGGACGAACGGAAGUGUCCGUAGAAGUAUGUAGGAUGACUCGAUAGGAAAAUCCAUUGAGUUAUAUCUGAGGUAUGAUAUACAGUCGUAAGAUGAAUGCGCAAAUCCCACGCUGCCAAGAAAAGCUUCUAACGUUAAUAUUUGACUGCCCGUACUGCAAACCGACACAGGUGGUCAGGAUGAGAAAUCUAAGGCGGACAGGCUAACUCUCGUUAAGGAACUCUGCAAAAUAACCUCGUAACUUCGGGAGAAGAGGAGCCCUUGAGGGUCAGUAUCCACGCGAUACAAAGCGCUCGAGGGUCGCAGUGAAGAGGCUCAAGCAACUGUUUAACAAAAACACAGGUCUAUGCUAAGCUGGAAGGCGAUGUAUAUGGGCUGACACCUGCCCAGUGCUGGAAGGUUAAGAGGAGGAGUGAGAGCUCCGAAUUGAAGCCCCAGUGAACGGCGGCCGUAACUAUAACGGUCCUAAGGUAGCGAAAUUCCUUGUCGGGUAAGUUCCGACCUGCACGAAUGGUGUAAUGAUUUGAGCGCUGUCUUGACGGGAGGCCUGGUGAAAUUGUAUUACCGGUGAAGAUACCGGUUACCUACAGUAGGACGGAAAGACCCCAUGGAGCUUUACUGUAGCUUGGUAUUGGGUUUUGGCAUUGCAUGUAUAGGAUAGUUGGGAGACUGAGAUGAUAUGGCGCUAGCUGUAUCGGAGUCAUCGGUGGAAUACCAACCAUUCAAUGCUGAAAUUCUAAUCUGUGGUUUGUAGCCACGGAGACAGUGCUAGGUGGGCAGUUUGACUGGGGCGGUCGCCUCCUAAAGA
Molecule: ribosomal RNA, 2281 nt
Filed under: human metagenome
Description: bacterial LSU rRNA
Rfam family: Bacterial large subunit ribosomal RNA
Source: RNAcentral